GGUGUGCUCCCACCUGGCCAGGGACCACUACUGGUAUGUGCUCUCAUCUUGGCAAGUGACGGUCAAUGGAAAGAGCUUCAUGCAAUAUGAACGCUGUGUGCCCUUUGGUGACGUCAACACCAUCUGAGUCACAGAGUCUGUGCAGCUGUCCUCCAUCAACUUCCAGGUACAGAAGCCCCCUCCAGGUAGAAGGAGUUAACUGUAUGCUCCCCACAAGGACAUAGAACCUGGAAGCUUGAUGAUGUUGACUCCCGAUUACCUCACCACCAACCAAUCAGAAGACAUCCAUGAGCUGAUCACACACGCUGCAACCCUCUCCUUCACUGUCUUUAAAAACCUUUCCCUGAAAACCAUCAGGGAGUUUAGGUUUUUUAAGCACUAGCUGCCUAGACUCCUUGAUUGGUGUAAUAAAUCCUGUAUAACUCCUGCAACAAAUCCUGUACUUUCCUUCACUGCCACUCCUGUAUUAGGUUGGCUUUAUUGCACAUGGAUGAGCUAUUAUUAAGCAGAGGCUAAUCUAAUCUAGAUAGUUAUGGAUAAAUUUGCCUUAUUCUCUCUACCUGGUUGAUCCUGCCACUAAUAUAUAUGCUUGUUUCAAAGGUUAAGCCAUGCAUAAAGUGCGAAUGGCUGGUACAAUGAAACUGCAGAUAGCUCAUAAAAUCAGUUAUGGCUCCUUUGAUUGCUUGUUUAUUGCAACUGGAUUAUAGUUAGUUAUAAUAAUCAUUGCUUAAAUUCUUUGUUUUCAAAUCAUGCUUUUUGUCUCCCUGUUGCACUAUGUCGUUAUCAAUGUUACUAGCAGCAUUGCUUAUAUCCUGUCUAAUUUAUAACAUUACAGUAACUAGUGUGUAAUCAGGCUUCCAACUAAACUUCUAUGGCUAAACAUUUUGAGAAAAUCUCAUUUAUAACAUAAAA
Non-coding RNA from Odocoileus virginianus texanus, 912 nucleotides. The record is from RefSeq and is a predicted model, not a curated record. Lineage: Eukaryota; Metazoa; Chordata; Mammalia; Artiodactyla; Cervidae.